AGGGGAGGGUGUCCUGCGUGCACGGAGGCCCAGACUCGGGCACCUUCGCCCCGCGACCACGGGUCCUGCGAAGCAUCAGGUUGACGGAGGCGGGGUCCCCCUCCAGGACGCUCCCCCUCUCGGGGGCUUGGUCACAAGCCCACCGCCUGGUGGGAACGGACCUGGCCUGCCCCGUGCCCCCGUGCCUCCCCCGGCCCCAGGCCCGCCCCACCCACUUCCUGCGUGUCUGGCUUCCCUCGCUGAGCGAGCCGCACCUGACUCCUCGCGUCGUGUGUAUAUCGGUUUAUCGGGGCGACUUUUCUCAGGGGACCGGUAUUCGUCCCAGCACCGUUUCUCCACCGGGAUCGUCCGGUUUUCCGGCGAUCGUGAAUAAAGCCGCCGUAAACGUGCACAUGUAGCUUUUGUCACUUCUCCUGGGAACGUCCAGCAGGGUUGCCGGAUGCACGCUGAACGUUCCACAAAGAGCCAAGGCAUACGUUUUAGGAACGGGACACAGUACGGCACCGCCUGACCUCCUGACGUAGUUAAAUCUCACAGCAAACUAAACUGUGGGCAAUAAUCUGAUGGCGUGACCGAGUCUGGUUCUUGGGCUAUGUCGGCCUGGAGGUUUAUGUACAAGAAAGGAAAAAGCAGAAGCCAUUUUUGUGGAACAUUUGGAGACACGAGAAAACGUCCAACGUUUAUAACUACAUGUGAGCUCUGUAAACCAGCACGGGCAAGAGAGGGGGCUGUGAGAACCCCGGAAUACAGUUCUCUUUGGCCACACAGACCUGUUAAAAGCCAGACUGUAAAUCGACAAAAAGCCGGCAAAUCUGUCCUCACAGCCACGUUGUGGGGAAGCAGGUCCCCCGGGCACGGGCUGCACUGUGGUCGUGCACCGUGAUCCUGGGGUCAGAUCACUUAUCCGCCGCCAUCAGGAGCCACGGGCAAAACCCAUCACUGCAGGGACGUGACGCCUGGAGCCCGUCAUUCAGGCUACAGCCUGUGGGAGCUUGUCAGAGGGAGACGGCGCUUACUUAUUCAACGGUUUCCCGGCUGCCCCCCGUGGGCUCAGCGCGGAGAGCAAGAGUGGCACCUCGGAGGACCCUCCUUCCCCAGCCCACUGCAGCGUCGGUGCUCUGGGUGCGGACGCAUCAGGCCGGGCCGCUGGGCUCGCAGCCUCUGCCUCCCCCUGCUGGCAGCACGCCCACCCUUCCAGGUGCACAGAGAGAAGGACACGAGGGGGGGGGUCUGCUGCUGCUG
Molecule: long non-coding RNA, 1242 nt
Organism: Lynx canadensis (Canada lynx)
Lineage: Eukaryota; Metazoa; Chordata; Mammalia; Carnivora; Felidae
Exons: 4
Source: RefSeq, a predicted model, not a curated record